UUUCUAGACUGUUGAGUGCUGUGAAGUCCGAGACAGUGGCCUUUCAAAGACAUGGGCAAGAAGCAGGGUGGGAGUGGGUAGGGAGAGGAAGCAGAGCCAGAGGAUAAAAACGACAGCCGUCGCCCUCUGGGCCGUUACCGCCCAUGCCAGCCGGUGCAGAGAAAUUCCAGCAUAUCUGCAGAUUCCUGCCAUUCUGUUCAGAGGCCAGGGAGGCCUCUUUGAGGAGUUCCUGUUGUGGUGCAGUGGAAAUGAACCCGACUAGUAUCCAUGAGGACGCAGGUUCGAUCCCUGGCCUCGCUCAGUGGGUCGGGCAGAACAAUUCAACCUUUCCAGGCCCAGUCCCAAAUCCUGCCCAACUUUGCACAGUCCAGCCUGGGAAGGCACAGACACAGAAAGGACCCGUCUUUGAACAGAACUGGCCUUCCUUCCAGGGCAGCCAGCUGACAUUGACCAUGGGCUCCCUCACAGAUCAAAGUGCUAUUUUCAGAACAACGGGGAAAGAAUGCCAAAUACACCCCUCCCAAAAAAAAAACCAUGGAAUUAAGGGAAUUUCUGUUUUACAAGCCACCCGAGUCCUGACUAAGUAAGCUCAGGGCCAGCACCUUGUCCCAGAAGAACAGCUCUGAUAGGGGCUUUCGCCUGUGACAGCAAACUUCUGGAGAACCGGUUUAGCCUGGGCUAUCUCCAGUCUCUGUUGACAUCACACCACAUAUCAGAGGGGACCUGGCCCUGACUCUGGCUCCAACGUGUCCUUCCAUGGUGACAUCUGAGUUUUGUCAAGACCCCACUACAUGGAAUCAUAGGAGGUGGGGGAGUUCCAGGGGGAGAAGCAGGUAAGUAAGGAGGGCGUCGUGGAAGAGGUGGCCCUGCUCAGAGGACGGACAGCAAGAACCCCUCAAGGCUGUAAUUAAGAAGACACAUAAUUGCAAGUGUUGGCAAGGAUGUGGAGAACUUGGCACCCUCAUACCCUGCUGGUGGGAAUAUAAAAUGGCACAGAAAACAGUCUGGCACAUCCUCAAAAAGUUAAGGAGUUCCCGUCGUGGCGUAGGGGUUAACAAAUCCGACUAGGAACCACGAGGUUGCGGGUUCAAUCCCUGGCCUCGCUCAGUGGGUUAAGGAUCCGGCGUUGCCGUGAGCUGUGGUGUGGGUCGCAGACGUGGCUCGGAUCCUCUGUUGCUGUGGCUCUGGCCUAGGCCGGUGGCUACAGCUCCGAUGAGACCCCUAGCCUGGGAAUCUCCAUAUGCCAUGGGUGCGGCCCUAGAAAAG
This 1266-nucleotide long non-coding RNA is filed under the name Sus scrofa (pig). Its description in RNAcentral is "lncRNA (ENSSSCG00050074718.1)". The record is from RNAcentral. Lineage: Eukaryota; Metazoa; Chordata; Mammalia; Artiodactyla; Suidae.